AAAUGCAGAAGUGACACAGUUUCCAGUGGUUAGGCAUAAGGAGAAUUGUAACUGGUUUUUUUAGUAUUCUGGCCAGUGUUUCAAGUUGAGCUUUGGUGGUGAUGUCUUUUUUGAUUGGGUGGUUGGUUGGUUGGGUUUUUUUUCAUUGUGGCUUUCUAGCACUGUUUCGAAGUUAACUGGGAAACUUGCAGAUGUCAGACAAACUUAAGUGCCUUGGGAUACUAACACAGAGAGGACUUUGAGGUAUCUGUCAGAUUUAUCCACUCAAGAGACUGGAAGGUUUUCCCAACUCUUUUUCUAUUUGUUUCAAGUAGAAAUUUAGUUUUGAGUCAGAACUGCAUUUCCCUGUGGUCUUGUAUAUUAUAACUAAUUCUCUGUGGCCCUGGCUUGUGGAGGUGUAGCAGAACAACUACAUCUUUUAAUGUGUUUCUACAAAAGAAAAUCUGAUAGCAAGUUAACAUGUUAUUUUUUCUUCUAAGCAAUACAUCGAUAAUUUAAAGGCAUUUUAAUCCAUAGAUUAUUCUGGAUGAGUAUUAAUUUCUCUCUACUUUUCUAACACGUAAAUGCUUUACAUUUGCAGAAUUUUACUUCUUCAUCCUCUGAAGAAAUCUCAUGCUGAAAGCUUGAUAUGGAAGAUUUAUCAAAAUGCAUGCAUGCUAAUGUUGUUCUUUGUGCAGUAUGGUAGUUCCUAAUAAUUAUUGAGAUUAUUAACCUGGAAAUAAGUGUACAGGUGUUGUCUUGGUUUACAAGACAAAUUUCUGCCAAGGAAGGUGGGAACCAUCCUGGGAUAGAAAAUAUGACCCACUUCCCUCCAAAUUAUUAUAACUUUGAAAUUACGGGGCUUUCAGGCAAAGAUAGGGGAAAAGAAAUAGCAGUUCCUUACAGCGUGUGUGUGUACAGCCGGGCAAACAAGCACCGAGCCCGGCAGAGCACAGACCCGGCGCGGCCUUGUCCCGGCUCAGGCCCUUCCCCCGCGGCGCAGUUCCGGGCACAGCCAGCAGGGGCGCCGCUGGCUGCCGGGCAGCGCGGGGGCGAUGCUUCCCCCGCGGCUGCAGGGGGCGCUGUGGCGCAGCUCGGCCGCCUCUCUGCGCACGGCAAUGGCGGCGGGCCGGCGGAAGGGAUGGAGAAGGGGUUCCUUGGCAAACUCACAGGAAGCAGCCGGUCCCUGCGGGUGUCUGCCACUCUGGGUGGCGAGCUGGACUGUAGCAGGAACCUCAGAACAGCAGGCUGGAACAGCAGAGAUUGAGACAGGUUAUCCAUUUCUGGACUUCCUGGAUGUGGUGGGAGGCUGCCAGAUUAACUUUAUGCAACAAGCUGUUUUCCUGCAUUUGGGUUUGGAGCUCAGGUUCCUCCUAGCUGGCAGGGAUCCAAGGAAUAGUGGAUGCCUACUGCCAUAUUCUGCCACAGAUCCAACUCUACGGGCCAACCAACUUCUUUCCUAUUAUAAACCACAUGGCAAGGUUUGCAGCACACUUGCUGCAACAAGGAAUGGCUGCAGUGAGUGCAAGGUCUUUACUGUGGAUCUGCUUUGGACUGAUGUUUCUGUUUUCCAUGUUGAUGGUUGAAUAGAAUGGAAUAGUAAAUUGACAUUAUCUUCCCUCAUUUGAAUCACAACUUCUUUCUUCUGCUGUCAGCCUACAGAGAGCAUGUUGAUGCUCUCUUGGUACAUACUGAUAUGAACCUGUACUGGGUAGACACAUUAGUUUCAUUGCUCAAGUGAUAUUAAUUUUUUUUGCAGUUUGCUGGAACUGUACUUACUGUUGCAUUGUUCAAGGGUGCUGUGUUGGCUGUUCAACCAGUUGGACUGAGGCAGCAGUUGCCUCACCCUAAUCUCUCUUACCAAGCUCUGUCAUCUGUAGGGCAUGCACAUAGAACAGAGUUUUGUGCCAAAUAAUUUUGCUCUCAAGAAUGUUGAGGAAAAACUUCUAAAAUGCUACCAGAGGGCUUGACUAUUCGUCCUGCUAUAGGGGCAUGGAGUCUGAGAACUCUUCAAUCAGUGUGCUAAUUGCAGAGCAUCUGUGCUUCCCUAUGGUCAUGGAUCGUUUGUGUGCUCCUGUGGCCAUGGUUGCUGUUGAAAUUUUACUUCAUUUCUUUAAACUUUAUUCAUUUUGCUUAAGAAUGAAGGACUUGGAUGUCCUGAUAGAUUUUAGCUGAUUUCAUUUGUGACAGACCAAUCAGAAAGAAUUUUGACAUACACUGUGCUACUUGUUUUAUCACCUAGCUGUGUCAGUAUUUUUGGUGCUACGUAAUGUUUGUGUGUAUAUCAAAUAUAUUUCCCACACUGUGAGGCACUUGGGCUAAGGAGAUAGAUUUCCUGCAUUUCUGAGGGUAUUUUUUAACCUUCCCAGCACUUUGGGGAAAUCUUCCUAAUUCUCGUAAUGUGUUAAAUAUCUCUACUUUUUCUUUCAGAUUUAAACCUAACUAUUUAAAUAAAGAAUCAGCAAUCAGUACAGAGAAUAUUGGACGUGCACAAUGAAAAUCAUUAGGCA
Taeniopygia guttata (zebra finch) is the source of this 2489-nucleotide non-coding RNA. Lineage: Eukaryota; Metazoa; Chordata; Aves; Passeriformes; Estrildidae. The record is from RefSeq and is a predicted model, not a curated record.